CUACGGGUCGCUGCAGUGGGGAAUAUUGCACAAUGGGCGCAAGCCUGAUGCAGCCAUGCCGCGUGUAUGAAGAAGGCCUUCGGGUUGUAAAGUACUUUCAGCGGGGAGGAAGGGAGUAAAGUUAAUACCUUUGCUCAUUGACGUUACCCGCAGAAGAAGCACCGGCUAACUCCGUGCCAGCAGCCGCGGUAAUACGGAGGGUGCAAGCGUUAAUCGGAAUUACUGGGCGUAAAGCGCACGCAGGCGGUUUGUUAAGUCAGAUGUGAAAUCCCCGGGCUCAACCUGGGAACUGCAUCGGAUACUGGCUAGCUUGAGUCUCGUAGAGGGGGGUAGAAUUCCAGGUGUAGCGGUGAAAUGCGUAGAGAUCUGGAGGAAUACCGGUGGCGAAGGCGGCCCCCUGGAUGAAGACUGACGCUCAGGUGCGAAAGCGUGGGGAGCAAACAGGAUUAGAUACCCUCGUAGUC
Molecule: ribosomal RNA, 464 nt
Filed under: uncultured bacterium
Lineage: Bacteria
Description: partial 16S ribosomal RNA
Rfam family: Bacterial small subunit ribosomal RNA
Source: RNAcentral